RNAcentral lists this ribosomal RNA (253 nucleotides) under uncultured bacterium. RNAcentral's name for it is "partial 16S ribosomal RNA". It matches the Rfam family "Bacterial small subunit ribosomal RNA", at positions 524 to 776 of the family's 1533-position model. The record is from RNAcentral.
UACAGAGGUCCCAAGCGUUACUGAGAAUCACUGGGUUUAAAGGGUGCGUAGGUGGUCCGUUAAGUCAGUUGUGAAAUCCCCGGGCUCAACCCGGGAAAUGCUUCUGAUACUGGCGGACUUGAGGCCAGUAGGGGUCACUAGAACUGGCGGUGGAGCGGUGAAAUGCGUAGAUAUCGUCAGGAAUGCCGGUGGUGAAGACGGGUGACUGGGCUGGUUCUGACACUGAGGCACGAAAGCGUGGGGAGCGAACGGG